UACGUAGGGUGCAAGCGUUAAUCGGAAUUACUGGGCGUAAAGCGUGCGCAGGCGGUUUGUAAGUACAGAGGUGAAAUCCCGGGCUCAAACCUCGGGAACUGCCUUUGUGACUGCAAGGCUUGAGUGCGGCAGAGGGGAUGGAAUUCCGCGUGUAGCAGUGAAAUGCGUAGAUAUGCGGAGGAACACCGAUGGCGAAGGCAAUCCCCUGGGCCUGCACUGACGCUCAUGCACGAAAGCGUGGGGAGCAAACAGG
Molecule: ribosomal RNA, 253 nt
Filed under: uncultured bacterium
Lineage: Bacteria
Description: partial 16S ribosomal RNA
Rfam family: Bacterial small subunit ribosomal RNA
Source: RNAcentral